This 447-nucleotide ribosomal RNA is filed under the name uncultured bacterium. RNAcentral describes it as "bacterial SSU rRNA". It matches the Rfam family "Bacterial small subunit ribosomal RNA", at positions 329 to 793 of the family's 1533-position model. The record is from RNAcentral.
AGCCAGACUCCUACGGGAGGCAGCAGUGGGGGAUAUUGCACAAUGGGGGAAACCCUGAUGCAGCGACGCCGCGUGAGUGAAGAAGUACUUCAUUACGUAAAGCCCUAUCAGCAGGGAAGAAAAUGACGGUACCUGACUAAGAAGCCCCGGCUAACUACGUGCCAGCAGCCGCGGUAAUACGUAGGGGGCAAGCGUUAUCCGGAAUUACUGGGUGUAAAGGGAGCGCAGACGGCAGUGCAAGUCUGGGGUGAAAGCCCGGGGCUUAACCGCGGGACUGCUCUGGAAACUGUGCAGCUAGAGUGCAGGAGAGGCAGGCGGAAUUCCUAGUGUAGCGGUGAAAUGCGUAGAUAUUAGGAGGAACACCGGUGGCGAAGGCGGCCUGCUGGACUGUAACUGACGUUGAGGCUCGAAAGCGUGGGGAGCAAACAGGAUUAGAUACCCUCGUAC